AACGGGGUCGUCUUUGCACACGCAUAACGGAGCCAAAUCGAAACCUCACUACGACGUUGCGGUGAUGAGGGAACCCAGCUUAGAUGGUCUGCACGUCGACGGAGAUACGGGCGAUGGUCCUGUCGUGGAUGAGCCUUCUCUGCGGCAGAAAGUUGCCGUUGCGGUCGGCAUUGCCUGCAUAAGCGGCUACAUUGGCUACAACCUCGUGUACAACCAGCAGGCGAGCGUGUCACAAGCUCUGUGGAGCAGAGAGGACGAGGAUGUAGCGCCUGCGUCAAUGCCUGUGCGGCCACGCGUGGCGCUCGUGAACAUGACGGGGAACUUGCGCUUGUGUGCUGUGGCAGGCCUGCGGGCGUGGCUGGACGUGGCAGAUGAGGUGGAGCUUGAGUUCCCCACUGUGACCUUUGUAGAGGAUGACGAAGCCGGCGCGAUUGUUGGGCUUGCUGCAGAGGUGCGAAGGGCUACUCUGUUCGCGUGGGUAGAGCUGAAGGAGCGCCACGAGAUGAAUGCGCCCUUUGACGUGAAACCGUUCUGCUGUGUCGUGUUUCGCAGCAUAACUGAGGUGGAUGGACAAGCUCUCGAUGCAUGGGAUGUACAGGAAAUGGAGUUGUAUCGAUGGCACGGGAAGCGGUUUGUAACGCGUCACUGUGUGGGUGCCUCAGUCGACGGCAAGCGCGCGAUGGUGCUCAUGCACGACGUUGAGGGAGUUAUUGACGUGAGGCCGGCAGCGGCUCGUGCUGGUGGUCGUGUGAGUGAUUGCGGAGCUCUAGUGCGCCAGUAUGGUGCACCGAGCGCAGCGAGUUUUCGUCGAUGGAAGCUGAGCGCUGAAGCGCCGUCAUCGUGUACCCCCGUGCAGCCGCCCGCGAAGUCGCUCCUGGGACUUGGAAUGCGCCGGCGAGACGGCCAGCGUUGCCAACUUUGGCAAAGCCCAUUGCUCAUUUUCGCAGCACUUGGCUCAGUGCUGCGCUACAACCGCGCCGAUGUCGCCGUCUAUCCCAAUCACAUCACUACGCCGGUGCCGGUGUCGCAGAGUGCGAGUGCCGUGAGCGCCUCGUGGUGGGGCUGCAUGAAGGAGUUGGCACGCCGAUGCACUUCGCCGCUGCUGCAUCGGUACGCGGCACGGCAAAGCGCGCGCAUGGAGCGUCAGCGGCAGCUCUCUUCCACUUUUGUUGUCGUCGUAAGCCUCGCCGAGGAAAGCGCGGCUGUGACAUCAGACGUGCUACGCGUCGUCGAGGAGCACGUAGCCGAGUGGAUGCGCGACAUGAACGGCGCUUCACCAAUGAAGAUACCUUUGCCGACCGCGAAUCGAGUUUGCGUACGAGACGCAGCGGCACGACCGGAGAAGCUCAUGAUGGCGCCGACGAUACAAGUGGACUUGACCGACACCAUCUGUAGUGUCAUUGCGGCUGAGUGGCUUUUGAUCCGACUCACCAGCCUUUUCGCAGCUUUGGGACUUGAGCCUGCCCUCGCCCAGCUUGUCGCUGUGCCUGGGCCGCAGGCGAGCACCUCACUUCUAUACCCGACACCGAAGACCGCACACCUGCGCCAUCUGUGGCUGUCACGAUCGGCACCGGCCUCCUCAUCGACGAGCACUGAUAAAGAUGCAACAUCGCCUUGCAUGACAAGGACUGGUUGCACCACACAAGGAGGCCACUUCGCGGGGUGCGCUGCUACUAUGCCGAUCGAGGCUGGAUUCGUCGUUAGCGAGCACGACUUCUCGGCCUUCUAGUCAAAGGGGAGCAGCACUCUCUUCUUCGGCUACCUGACCACCACACAUCGCCUUAUGACGCAGGUAGGGGCGAAAAGACACCUCAGUGCGUGGUAUCUCGGUGCUCAGUACACCCCUACUCGCUCUGUCGGCGCGGGGGAGGGAGUGGGGGCGGGGAAGCCAAGCAGCCCUCCCUUCCUGUGCCUGCGAAAUGCCGAGCCCACCGCUGGUGAUGACAGGGUGAAGCGCCUGCCGCCUAGGCAGGUGGGUGCGACGUAUCACUGCGGAUGUCGGUGGUCAGGUCCUGGACGGGGAUGCGUCGGAGCGACCGGCGACAGAGAGCACGCUUGCGCCACCCAUGCGAUGGGCCGAGGUGCCAGCAUGGCUCGAGUGCAUCUCACGCGCCCCUCGCACUGCCUACUGGUUGGGGCAGCCUGGGCGUCACGCCGAGGUGUAGGGACGAGGGGGGGUGGUGAUGGUGGUGCACCCGGGGUGGCGACUGGCAUGAUGGGGGAGCGGCUAUGAGGCGACCCGCGGAGCGGGGAGGGGUGGGCGCAUCUCGAGACGGAGGCCGUGCUGAGGUGGCUGGGUCGGGGCAUUGCUUGCAUGCGUGCGUGUCUCGGGCUGCUUCGCGCCAGGCGAUGGGGCCUGUGGCACGCCGGGGGCCGAGCGGAGCUUGGCUCAUGCUGUGUGGCAGCGAAUGGACACACGCUAGGGACGAAGCAAGAAGAGCACGACCGGACGCCUCCAAGUGAUGUGCCGCACACGUGUGGGACGAUUUAGUUUUUGGAAGUGCGGCUCGUAGAGCAGCACCCCCUCAGCGACAACAUUUUGGUACAAAGAUGCCUUGCUCCUUCUGCCCGCUCCCUUAAAGCGUGAUGCGUAAGAGAACGGGAGAGGCCGGCGCGGUGCUGCGGCUUGGCUGUCGGUAAAGAGAAGGGAGCUGGAUGGGGGUAGUGCUCAACGUGGGGAGACGCGAGCCUCAGCAAACCGCACCCGCUGAUGGAGCGUCGUUUCUUUUUCGAAGCAGCUACAGAAGAGUGCGCAAGGCCACUACCGUCCACGGAUGCUGUUCGGGCCGACGGCAACGUGCUUCUUGUUUUUUGCUGUCCACUGUUUUAUCCCAGGCCCUUCUCCCCCCGAUGGGUGUAAGGGGCCGAUGAAUGGAGGACGUGAACACUAGGCGCGUGGAAUACGAGAAAGAAAAACGCGCUUCACGCCGCGCCUCUGUGCGUGGUUCCUCAUCGCUUUCUCUUUCCAGCUGUCGCCUCCCUCUCCCCGUGACUGCGUCCGAGUGCCCGUGAUUUCGUUUUACUCUCGUUUACCGUUGCCUUUGGUUGCUUCUUUUUAUUUUUUGGUGCGGUGACGGCCCCCGUUUUCACCCUCUGCACAACGCGUGUCCUCGCGGUGGAGAUGAGCGGCGAUGUGGGCCUCGACGUAGAGGCGACGUGGACGAACUGCAAAGCGGCGGCGGCCAAGAUGAACCGUGGCGGUGCAGCGACGCACUUUGGCGCGUCUCCGGUGUCGAGUGCGCUGCCCAGAACGUCUUCCUUGUCCGCGUACGGUCGAAUAGGCGAAAACGGAGCUGUGAACUGACGGCAGCAGACGUGCGCCGCGGCACAUGUGCUGCCGAGCUGACGAACGCCAAUUUUCUGCUUUGCUGAGAAAGGUGAGUGGCGCUAUGGGUGUUUACCUGCAACAGGACUUUCACUGCAGCGUUCCACGGGAGGUAUGCGGUGAUGCGCUCUUUUUCUCAGAUUCUCAAUGUGAUAAGCCGUGGAACUACACUGGUACUGCUUGCAGAGAGCCCUCGUUCGUGCCGGAGUAGCGCGCACGGUGCGUCCCAGCGUGGUGGAGCUUGCUGCACGACUGGAAGCAGAGUAACACGCUGGCGUAGGUGAUGCAGGAGCCACGGAGCUUUCGCAGCUGCAAAGGCGUGAGCGGUCUGCUCUGCUUUACCCGGUGCGCCGCAGCGUUGUGAAGGAUGCGAUGCGAAAUGUUGUGUGCUGCGUUUCGUGAAUAACGGCGGAGAAGUGUAUGGGCGCAGUGGAUCUUCCCCUGCUCUCCAUUGUUGACGCCACGGUGGGCUGAGACUCGUCUUCUCCACCGAGAAACUGCUCGUGCACGUACACGCGAUCCUUGCGACACCUACACUGCGUACAACACCCCACAGCGAAACGUACGAGCACCUAGCCAAUGCCCGCGGGACAGCUUCUUUCGAUUGCGGGGGGGGGCAAGGUGCCGUUGCCGGGGAGACAUUGACCACUCUGAGGCUCGACUGAAUGCGAUGCACUGCUGACGCUGAAGUGCUGCGGACAAUCAAUUUCCUGCCCCCUCCCCCCUUGCCCCUUAUCACUUCUGCAACAAGGGCUCUGCCUCACCGCUGGCGAGGCUGUACGUGGAUGUGACAGUGCAACGGCGUGCCUCCGACUCUAUCUGUCCAAGGAGGUCGUGCCUUCUACCCUGUUGCUUUCCCUCUUCACCGUGCGACCUCUCCGGAACUGUUUACACUGCCGCAACUCAAAAG
This 4235-nucleotide unclassified non-coding RNA is filed under the name Leishmania donovani. Its description in RNAcentral is "gene:LdHU3.33.0220(CDS-product:hypothetical_prote in_conserved)". Lineage: Eukaryota; Euglenozoa; Kinetoplastea; Trypanosomatida; Trypanosomatidae. The record is from RNAcentral.